AGAUUGUUGUGGUGAUCCUUGCUACGAAGCGGUCUUUUCUGACCAAGGUUGGGACGGUCUACCACUUCCUCUAACAUAC
This 79-nucleotide ribosomal RNA is filed under the name Sphaerospermopsis sp. FACHB-1094. RNAcentral's name for it is "partial 23S ribosomal RNA". The record is from RNAcentral. Lineage: Bacteria; Bacillati; Cyanobacteriota; Cyanophyceae; Nostocales; Aphanizomenonaceae.